RNAcentral lists this transfer RNA (73 nucleotides) under Rhipicephalus sanguineus (brown dog tick). RNAcentral's name for it is "transfer RNA serine (anticodon AGA)". It matches the Rfam family "tRNA". From Rfam's summary of the family: Transfer RNA (tRNA) molecules are approximately 80 nucleotides in length. Their secondary structure includes four short double-helical elements and three loops (D, anti-codon, and T loops). Lineage: Eukaryota; Metazoa; Arthropoda; Arachnida; Ixodida; Ixodidae. The record is from Rfam by way of RNAcentral.
UCCUGGUUAGCUCAAUUGGUAGAGCGACCGCCCCAGAAAGGCGUGGUCCCGGGUUCGAUCCCCGGACGAGGAC